RNAcentral lists this non-coding RNA (857 nucleotides) under Morethia butleri. Its description in RNAcentral is "partial 12S ribosomal RNA". It matches the Rfam family "Bacterial small subunit ribosomal RNA". The record is from RNAcentral. Lineage: Eukaryota; Metazoa; Chordata; Lepidosauria; Squamata; Scincidae.
CCCUAAAAACAUAAAGUUUUGGUCCUAAACUUGCCAUUGUUUUUAAUAAAAAUUACACAUGCAAGCCUCAACAUACCAGUGAGAAUGCCCAUAAAUUCCCAAACAGAACGCAGGAGCAGGCAUCAGGAACACCAAUGUUAGCCCACAACGCCUUGCUACGCCACACCCACAAGGGUCUUCAGCAGUGAAAAGUAUUAAAAAAUAAGCGAAAGCUUGAUUUAGUUAUUAUUAAUAUGGUCGGUAAAUUUCGUGCCAGCCACCGCGGUUAUACGAAAGACCAAAAACAAUGGCCCACGGCGUAAAGAGUGAUAAGAGUAAAUACCAAAUUUAAAGGAGAACUGCAACAAAGUUGUAAAAUACUACCGAUUGCAAGAACCACAACAACAAAACGCCUUUAACCACUUGCCUCACGAAAACUAAGAAACAAACUGGGAUUAGAUACCCCACUAUGCUUAGCCGUAAACAAAAACAGUACAAACACAAUACUGUUCGCCAGAGAACUACAAGCAAAAACUCAAAACUCCAAGGACUUGGCGGUGCUCCACAUCACCCUAGAGGAGCCUGUCCUAUAAUCGAUACCCCCCGAUCUACCUUACCAUUUUUUGAAGCUCAGCCUAUAUACCGCCGUCGUCAGCCUACCUUAUGAAAGAAACAAAGUAAGCAAAAUAGUCAAUGACUAAAACGUCAGGUCAAGGUGUAGCACAUAAAAUGGAAGAGAUGGGCUACACUCUCUCACCCAGAGAACACGAACAGCACAAUGAAAUAAUGCUCAAAGGUGGAUUUAGUAGUAAGAUAGACAAGAAAACCUAUCUUAAACCAGCCCUGGAGCGCGCACACACCGCCCGUCACCCUCAUCG